This is a non-coding RNA of Oryza glumipatula, 208 nucleotides long. Lineage: Eukaryota; Viridiplantae; Streptophyta; Magnoliopsida; Poales; Poaceae. The record is from Rfam.
AAAAAGACAAACCCUAGGUUUCCGUAUCCAACGUUUAACUGUCCGUGUUAUAUGAAAUUUUUUUAUAAUUAGUAUUUUCAUUGUUGUUAGAUGAUAAAACAUGAUUAAUACUUUAUGUGUGAUUUGUCUUUUUAAUUUUUUUUUAUAAUUUUUUCAAAUAAGACGGACAGUUAAACGUUGGAUAUGGAAACUUAGGAUUUGUCUUUUU